Long non-coding RNA from Lucilia sericata (common green bottle fly), 459 nucleotides. RefSeq lists it as uncharacterized. The transcript is spliced from 7 exons. Lineage: Eukaryota; Metazoa; Arthropoda; Insecta; Diptera; Calliphoridae. The record is from RefSeq and is a predicted model, not a curated record.
GGUGAAGAAGAAGCACCCAAACAAAAAAAUAUCAAUGGAUACAACGAGGUUCUGGUGGAGAUUUAUGGCCAAUAAAGGGGAUUUUAAACAAGAUAUCAUGUUGGCGGCCCUGGGUCUAUAUAAAAAAACUUGAUGGCCGAUUCUGAAAGAUGGCGGAUCGAAGAAGAAUGAAAUGGUUUUGUUCCCGAUGGGCCGGUGGACUCGGUAUUAAGGUGGUUCCGGAAAUUUAAGCUAAUAAAAUUCAAUUGGACUUGGGAUUUAGCCCUUGAUUGCUGCUCCCGUUCAGGAAAGGUUAUAAAUUCAGAUGGGACCUGGACCGGAAGACAGAAGGCGGUAUAUGGACCCCGUUGUUAUUCUAAAAACUUUUAAUCAUCAAAUUCUUUGGUCAUGAUGAAAAUCUACAGCCUCAACUGUAAGACCGAGAGGAAAAUUUCUCCAAUCAACAAAAUUUUAAUCGGU